Non-coding RNA from Bactrocera oleae (olive fruit fly), 281 nucleotides. The record is from RefSeq and is a predicted model, not a curated record. Lineage: Eukaryota; Metazoa; Arthropoda; Insecta; Diptera; Tephritidae.
UUCUGCUCAAGGAAUUACGUGUCUUCUGGCAGCAUGCGAAACUCGAACAAACGGCACCGGUUUGAGACUCACAGGGGGUAUUACUUAAAAACAAACCAAUGAGCUGAAAACCACAAAGCGAAGCAACCUAAAAGUAAAAAAUCACUAGCGAAUUCAUUUUUGGUACGCUGCUGACAAGUUUAACAAUGCUAUCAAAGGAAAAGUUAGAGUAACUAAAAUCCAAAUUAAUACAGAAAUCAACGGAAGAGAAAAAAAUGUGAUACACAUAUCUAAAAAACAAA